This 497-nucleotide ribosomal RNA is filed under the name uncultured bacterium. RNAcentral's name for it is "partial 16S ribosomal RNA". It matches the Rfam family "Bacterial small subunit ribosomal RNA", at positions 28 to 507 of the family's 1533-position model. The record is from RNAcentral.
GAUGAACGCUGGCGGCGUGCCUAAUACAUGCCAGUCGAGCGAACAGACGAGGAGCUUGCUCCUCUGACGUUAGCGGCGGACGGGUGAGUAACACGUGGAUAACCUACCUAUAAGACUGGGAUAACUUCGGGAAACCGGAGCUAAUACCGGAUAACAUGUUGAACCGCAUGGUUCAACAGUGAAAGACGGUCUUGCUGUCACUUAUAGAUGGAUCCGCGCCGCAUUAGCUAGUUGGUAAGGUAACGGCUUACCAAGGCAACGAUGCGUAGCCGACCUGAGAGGGUGAUCGGCCACACUGGAACUGAGACACGGUCCAGACUCCUACGGGAGGCAGCAGUAGGGAAUCUUCCGCAAUGGGCGAAAGCCUGACGGAGCAACGCCGCGUGAGUGAAGAAGGUCUUCGGAUCGUAAAACUCUGUUAUUAGGGAGGAACAAAUGUGUAAGUAACUAUGCACGUCUUGACGGUACCUAAUCAGAAAGCCACGGCUAACUACGUG